GACGAACCGUGCGAACGUUAUUCGGAAUCACUGGGCUUAAAGCGCACGUAGGCGGCACUGUAAGUGUCGGGUGAAAUCCCACGGCUCACCCGUGGAACUGCCCGGCAGACUGUGGUGCUCGAGUGUGGUAGGGGAGAGCGGAACUCCUGGUGGAGCGGUGAAAUGCGUAGAUAUCUGGAGGAACACCGGUGGCGAAGGCGGCAUCCUGGACCGGCAUUGACGCUGAGGAGCGAAAGCCAGGGGAGCAAACGGG
RNAcentral lists this ribosomal RNA (253 nucleotides) under uncultured bacterium. Its description in RNAcentral is "partial 16S ribosomal RNA". It matches the Rfam family "Bacterial small subunit ribosomal RNA", at positions 524 to 776 of the family's 1533-position model. The record is from RNAcentral.